AUGGAGGGGCUCCUACAUUGGGAUUUCUCCCCUGGCCAAGCAGUGGAGGCACAUGUGCGCAAAAGGUUUGGUUCUACCGUUCAUUUCUCCCCCAUCGGAGGUGCAAGAGAAUUCUUCCUAGUGGUGGCUUUUUCUUCUGCCUCCUUUCCUCUCUCGAUCGAAUCAGUGGGUCUUGCCCUCCAAUGUUGCAUUGGU
RNAcentral lists this ribosomal RNA (195 nucleotides) under Triticum aestivum (bread wheat). RNAcentral's name for it is "partial small subunit ribosomal RNA". Lineage: Eukaryota; Viridiplantae; Streptophyta; Magnoliopsida; Poales; Poaceae. The record is from RNAcentral.